GCGGGGGUUCCCGAGCCAGGUCAAAGGGGCAGGACUUAAGAUCCUGUGGCGUAGGCCUUCGCGGGUUCAAGUCCCGCCCCCCGCACCA
Molecule: transfer RNA, 88 nt
Rfam family: tRNA
About the family: Transfer RNA (tRNA) molecules are approximately 80 nucleotides in length. Their secondary structure includes four short double-helical elements and three loops (D, anti-codon, and T loops).